This 857-nucleotide ribosomal RNA is filed under the name uncultured bacterium. Its description in RNAcentral is "SSU rRNA". It matches the Rfam family "Bacterial small subunit ribosomal RNA", at positions 524 to 1381 of the family's 1533-position model. The record is from RNAcentral.
UACGGGAGUGUCAAGCGUUAUCCGGAAUUAUUGGGCGUAAAGCGUCCGCAGGCGGCCUUUUAAGUCUGUUGUUAAAGCGUGGAGCUUAACUCCAUUUGAGCAAUGGAAACUGGAAGGCUUGAGUGUGGUAGGGGCAGAGGGAAUUCCCGGUGUAGCGGUGAAAUGCGUAGAUAUCGGGAAGAACACCAGUGGCGAAGGCGCUCUGCUGGGCCAUAACUGACGCUCAUGGACGAAAGCCAGGGGAGCGAAAGGGAUUAGAUACCCCUGUAGUCCUGGCCGUAAACGAUGAACACUAGGUGUCGGGGGAAUCGACCCCCUCGGUGUCGUAGCCAACGCGUUAAGUGUUCCGCCUGGGGAGUACGCACGCAAGUGUGAAACUCAAAGGAAUUGACGGGGGCCCGCACAAGCGGUGGAGUAUGUGGUUUAAUUCGAUGCAACGCGAAGAACCUUACCAGGGUUUGACAUCCUGCGAAUCCCUUGGAAACGAGGGAGUGCCUUCGGGAGCGCAGUGACAGGUGGUGCAUGGCUGUCGUCAGCUCGUGUCGUGAGAUGUUGGGUUAAGUCCCGCAACGAGCGCAACCCACGUCGUUAGUUGCCAGCAUUCAGUUGGGCACUCUAGCGAGACCGCCGGUGAUAAACCGGAGGAAGGUGUGGAUGACGUCAAGUCAUCAUGCCCCUUACAUCCUGGGCUACACACGUACUACAAUGCUACGGACAAAGGGCAGCAAACUCGCGAGAGCUAGCAAAUCCCAUAAACCGUGGCUCAGUUCAGAUCGUAGGCUGCAACUCGCCUACGUGAAGGAGGAAUCGCUAGUAAUCGCAGGUCAGCAUACUGCGGUGAAUACGUUCCCGGGCCU